This 468-nucleotide ribosomal RNA is filed under the name uncultured bacterium. RNAcentral describes it as "partial 16S ribosomal RNA". It matches the Rfam family "Bacterial small subunit ribosomal RNA", at positions 28 to 507 of the family's 1533-position model. The record is from RNAcentral.
GACGAACGCUGGCGGCGUGCUUAACACAUGCAAGUCGAACGGAAAGGCCCUGCUUUUGUGGGGUGCUCGAGUGGCGAACGGGUGAGUAACACGUGAGUAACCUGCCCUUGACUUUGGGAUAACUUCAGGAAACUGGGGCUAAUACCGGAUAGGAGCUCCUGCUGCAUGGUGGGGGUUGGAAAGUUUCGGCGGUUGGGGAUGGACUCGCGGCUUAUCAGCUUGUUGGUGGGGUAGUGGCUUACCAAGGCUUUGACGGGUAGCCGGCCUGAGAGGGUGACCGGCCACAUUGGGACUGAGAUACGGCCCAGACUCCUACGGGAGGCAGCAGUGGCGAAUAUUGCACGAUGGGCGGAAGCCUGAUGCAGCAACGCCGCGUGCGGGAUGACGGCCUUCGGGUUGUAAACCGCUUUCGCCUGUGACGAAGCGUGAGUGACGGUAAUGGGUAAAGAAGCACCGGCUAACUACGUG